AAUAAAUAAACUAACUGGAUAAGUAAUUAAUCGUUGGAAAUCAACAAACAAAAUAAGUACUGAACCAAAUCAUGACAAAUGCGUCUCACAAAAUCUCCAAUUUCAAAGUGAGAAUAAUUAUUUUAUUGAGUCAUGGCCAUUGUGCACCAGUAUUACAAAUCAAAUGUGUUGGUUUACGCCUCAUCAUCAAGAGUUCGAGCCUUCGAGGUUCUCUAAUUAGUGGAAUUGGUUGACGAGUAUUCGUCGCCCCUCUUAGUACGGAACGAUAAUUAAGUUAUUAUUAUUCAAAUUCAUAAUCAAAAUGUGCUUCACUUCCAUCAUCCUAUAAUUUGUGUUACGAAUAUUUCAUGUCUUAUUAUUAAGAAAAAAUUGAGUGUGUUACUAUAAUGAAAAUAAAACAACCACACAUUUUUCUUUAUUUUAAUCAAACACAUAGAAAAAAGACAACUUGGUUACUCAUUUCAUUGCACAAUAAGCCCCCUCAAUUUCUUAAAUUUCCCUUUCAAAAUAUGACAAAAUCCACCUCAGCAUUUCCCCGUGCUCAAGAACUUUACUUAGUUUAAAACGUAACGUAAUGUAAAUAACA
RNAcentral lists this long non-coding RNA (586 nucleotides) under Linum usitatissimum (flax). Its description in RNAcentral is "long non-coding RNA (LUSI_LNC001889)". The record is from RNAcentral. Lineage: Eukaryota; Viridiplantae; Streptophyta; Magnoliopsida; Malpighiales; Linaceae.